RNAcentral lists this ribosomal RNA (404 nucleotides) under uncultured bacterium. Its description in RNAcentral is "partial 16S ribosomal RNA". It matches the Rfam family "Bacterial small subunit ribosomal RNA", at positions 28 to 525 of the family's 1533-position model. The record is from RNAcentral.
GACGAACGCUGGCGGCGUGCUUAACACAUGCAAGUCGAGCGGAGCGGCGAACGGGUGAGUAACGCGUGAGUAACUGCCCCCCUCUCUGGGAUAACAGUUGGAAACGGCUGCUAAUCCCGGAUCGUGGGGGAUGACUCGGGUCAUAUCAGCUUGUUGGUGGGGUAGUGGCCUACCAAGGCGACGACGGGUAGCCGGCCUGAGAGGGCGACCGGCCACAUUGGGCUGGGAUACGGCCCGAACUCCAACGUGGAGCAGCGGUGGGGAAUAUUGCACAAUGGGGGAAACCCUGGUGCAGCAACGCCGCGUGCGGGAUGACGGCCUUCGGGUUGUAAACCGCUUUCAGCAAUGACGCGGUAGUGGCAGAGGAAGCACCGGCUAACUACGUGCCAGCCGCCGCGGUAAUC